Molecule: transfer RNA, 73 nt
Filed under: Candidatus Poseidoniaceae archaeon
Lineage: Archaea; Methanobacteriati; Thermoplasmatota; Candidatus Poseidoniia; Candidatus Poseidoniales; Candidatus Poseidoniaceae
Description: tRNA-Phe
Rfam family: tRNA
About the family: Transfer RNA (tRNA) molecules are approximately 80 nucleotides in length. Their secondary structure includes four short double-helical elements and three loops (D, anti-codon, and T loops).
Source: RNAcentral
GGGACGGUAACUCAGCUGGGAGAGUGCCAGACUGAAGAUCUGGAAGUCGCCGGUUCAAGCCCGGCCCGUCCCA